CAGACCUGCAAACUGAGCAGAGUUAGUCUGUGUAACACAGGGACUCCCAGGUCUGGGACUUCUGCUGUUCCUAUUUCUGUUAUUUCAUCCUGUUUGUUUAGACUGGGAAACCUUUGGGGCAGGGACUGUCUUUCAUUGUAGACCUACAGCCUUAUUAACCAGGGCCAUAUGCACUGAUUUUUUUUUUUUUUUUUUAUACCAUGAACGUACUUGCCUGUUGGCCUUUCUUCACCCAGCUGCUUUUGUGUUUGCUUUGUCUUGCGGCCCCUAUUUGGGAAAAUACUCUUUUUGAAGAAUUCCUGAGGCACAGGCUGAGCAGUAAUCACAGGAAUUAGUGACUUCUGAACUUGGGUUUUAAACCAUAAGCUCUUUGGGAGGAGGAUUGAGAGUCCUAUAGUUAUGAAGAGCACCUAAUACAUCUGGGGCUUUUGUGAAACAUGAAGAUGUAACUAAUGAGCGUAGAGGUCUUUCUGCAGGCAACAUGGGCCAAAAAGCACCAGCUCUGCUCCCAAGUCCUUGAGGAAUCUCACAGGACUGGCAAGAAAAGAAAAAACACCAUGAGUGUUUUGGCUCUUGGACAGGAGCUCUUACCACGAGAUCUGUGGCCACGCUGCAUGGACUGUUUCCAAGAGCUCAGUAAAAGCUGUUAUUCCCCACAAGAAAUCCGUGGAGAAGGAUGGCCACUGCGGCCAAAAGCCAGUAAGACAAAGAUCUUUCCUCUGGUAUUAACAGCUCCCUCUCUCUAAUUCUUCUUAAAUAAGUAAAGGAGAUGCUAAAUUUACAACAUACUUUGCUAACAGCCAAGAGAAAGUUGGAGGGUGUUAAAACAUCCAACUCCUUCGUGCUGGUUUGGGAAUCCCAGCCUCCGAGUGACUUUUUCGAGCCCUUCUUCCUAUCCUGGUGUUAGCUAAAACCGGGGAAAAUCCGCCRGCGGCUGAACAGGUCUGCCUGGGGGCCCAGCAGCCGUGCCGGGGGCUUGCCGUCGCCGCCUGCCCUGCGCGCUGGGCAGGAGCCUGGGAACAGGCGCCUUGGGCCGUGGGCAGCGCCGUGCCUGCCGUCACCUCGGCCUCGGGGACACCGGGAGGGCACAUUUCCAUCGCCCCGUGCCCCCGGUGUAUCUACGUGUGAGGAAUGAGGAGAUUAAAAAACAGGGAGCCAGGAAACUGCCCAGUGCUAGCCAUGAGAUCCCACAAAGCGGACGAGCCAAAACGUGGCAUUUUUAUAGUGCGUUGUUUGAAAAUUCCUGCUGUGAGCACAGCCAGGAGAACGAGCACAACCGCUGAACCAGAAAGGGAGUUUUAUCACUGCCUGCAAACUCCAAGCAGAAUAACUCAGGUUGAAAGGGACCCGGGCGCAAAGCAGGGCUAACUCUGAAGAGUUGUCCAGGGCUUUGCACAGUCACCUCCCAAAGCUCUCCAAGGAUGGUGACUCCACCACCUCCCUGGGCAGCCGGCGCCAGUGUUACCCACCCUCCUGGGAAAAACAUUUCCCAUAUUCCCAACAGGGAUUUCCUUUGCGACUGUGGCUUCUUGUCCCUCUCUUUGCACCUCCAAGAAGAACCUGGCUCCACCAUCUCCGUAACCCCUUCAAGAAGCUGAAGACUUUGAGCAGGUCUCCUGGGAGCCGUCCCUUCUCUGGGGGAAGGACCUGGGCCCUGGGCGCCCCAUGGUCCCAUGGCUUGGCUCACCCCACCGUGCCACAGACCCCAGCCAGACACAGCGCCCCAGGAGACAGCGGGCAACCAGC
Molecule: long non-coding RNA, 1746 nt
Filed under: Apteryx rowi (Okarito brown kiwi)
Lineage: Eukaryota; Metazoa; Chordata; Aves; Apterygiformes; Apterygidae
Description: lncRNA (ENSARWG00000014338.1)
Source: RNAcentral